CCUGCGAAGGCAAGCGGAUCUCUUAAAGCCGUUCUCAGUUCGGACUGUAGGCUGCAACUCGCCUACACGAAGCUGGAAUCGCUAGUAAUCGCGGAUCAGCACGCCGCGGUGAAUACGUUCCCGGGCCUUGUACACACCGCCCGUCACACCAUGAGAGUCUGUAACACCCAAAGCCGGUGGGGAUAACCUUUAUAGGAGUCAGCCGUCUAAGGUAGGACAGAUGAAUUAGGGUGAAGUCGUAACAAGGUAUC
This 251-nucleotide ribosomal RNA is filed under the name uncultured bacterium. RNAcentral describes it as "partial 16S ribosomal RNA". It matches the Rfam family "Bacterial small subunit ribosomal RNA", at positions 1254 to 1500 of the family's 1533-position model. The record is from RNAcentral.